UCCCAGUUAGUACAAUGGUUAGUAUAGGGCACUCUCAUGGUUGAACGACUCGUUCGUCUUUGAUUGAACUGCUCAGAUCAGGGUUCGAUUCCCUGGCCGGGAA
RNAcentral lists this transfer RNA (103 nucleotides) under Mycosarcoma maydis (corn smut). RNAcentral describes it as "tRNA-Glu for anticodon CUC". It matches the Rfam family "tRNA". Rfam says of the family: Transfer RNA (tRNA) molecules are approximately 80 nucleotides in length. Their secondary structure includes four short double-helical elements and three loops (D, anti-codon, and T loops). Lineage: Eukaryota; Fungi; Basidiomycota; Ustilaginomycetes; Ustilaginales. The record is from RNAcentral.